Sebastes umbrosus (honeycomb rockfish) is the source of this 222-nucleotide long non-coding RNA. RefSeq lists it as uncharacterized. The record is from RefSeq and is a predicted model, not a curated record. Lineage: Eukaryota; Metazoa; Chordata; Actinopteri; Perciformes; Sebastidae. The transcript is spliced from 2 exons.
AAGAGGACUGACACACAUAAUGAGGACUGAAACCCAAUCCACCUGAGCCUUUCAUUAUCACCUCUAAAGGGGUUCUAUGUCCAGACCGGCCAACCUAGAGACCUUAAAUAAAGGGAGGAUUUCUAACCUGAAGCGGGGGGGUCUGAGUUGUGGUCGUUUGUUGCCGUUAACGGACUCCGUUUCUAACCGACCGUUAGCUACGGUUAAAUAAAGAAAAUAAAG